GACGUAGGGUGCGAGCGUUGUCCGGAUUUAUUGGUUUAAAGGGUGCGUAGGUGGCUUUAUAAGUCAGUGGUGAAAUACAGCCGCUUAACGGUUGAGGUGCCAUUGAUACUGUAGAGCUUGAAACAAUUGGAGGCUGCCGGAAUGGAUGGUGUAGCGGUGAAAUGCAUAGAUAUCAUCCAGAACACCGAUUGCGAAGGCAGGUGGCUACGUUUGAUUUGACACUGAGGCACGAAAGCAUGGGGAGCAAACAGG
Molecule: ribosomal RNA, 252 nt
Filed under: uncultured bacterium
Lineage: Bacteria
Description: partial 16S ribosomal RNA
Rfam family: Bacterial small subunit ribosomal RNA
Source: RNAcentral